RNAcentral lists this unclassified non-coding RNA (404 nucleotides) under soil metagenome. Its description in RNAcentral is "partial contains 5.8S ribosomal RNA, internal transcribed spacer 2, and large subunit ribosomal RNA". The stretch from base 1 to 122 matches the Rfam family "5.8S ribosomal RNA", at positions 35 to 154 of the family's 154-position model. The record is from RNAcentral.
GAUGAAGAACGUAGUGAAAUGCGAUACUUGGUGUGAAUUGCAGAAUCCCGUGAACCAUCGAGUUUUUGAACGCAAGUUGCGCCCGAAGCCGCUAGGCUGAGGGCACGCCUGCCUGGGUGUCACACAUCGUUGCCCCAAUGCCAAUCGCCUCACUUUGUAGGUAUUUGCUUGGGGUGAAUGUUGGCCUCCCGUGAGCUUUGUCUCACGGUUGGUUGAAAAUCGAGUGCAUGGUGUCGGGUGUACCAUGAUGGAUGGUGGUUGAGUGAUGAUGCUCGAGACCAAUCAUGGGUAACUCCACCAGAAUUGGGCUCGGUGACCCACAUGCGUCCCUUGGAUGCUCCCUAAGGAGACCUCAGGUCAGGCGGGGCUACCCGCUGAGUUUAAGCAUAUCAAUAAGCGGAGGA